GAUGAACGCUGGCGGCGUGCCUAACACAUGCAAGUCGAACGGAGUCCAGCCUUUAAGACCUUCGGGUCAAAGAGGGGAAGACUGAGUGGCGGACGGGUGAGUAACACGUGGGCAACCUGGCUCAUAGAGGGGGAUAACAGAGAGAAAUUUCUGCUAAUACCGCAUAAGCACACACUGCUGCAUGGCAGAGGGUGAAAAGAGAAUCGCUAUGAGAUGGACCCGCGUCUGAUUAGCCAGUUGGCAGGGUAAGAGCCUACCAAAGCGACGAUCAGUAGCCGAUCUGAGAGGAUGAACGGCCACAUUGGGACUGAGACACGGCCCAAACUCCUACGGGAGGCAGCAGUGGGGGAUAUUGCACAAUGGGGGGAACCCUGAUGCAGCGACGCCGCGUGAGUGAAGAAGUAUUUCGGUAUGUAAAGCUCUAUCAGCAGGGAAGAUAAUGACAGUACCUGAAUAAGAAGCCCCGGCUAACUACGUG
RNAcentral lists this ribosomal RNA (478 nucleotides) under uncultured bacterium. RNAcentral's name for it is "partial 16S ribosomal RNA". It matches the Rfam family "Bacterial small subunit ribosomal RNA", at positions 28 to 507 of the family's 1533-position model. The record is from RNAcentral.